RNAcentral lists this ribosomal RNA (491 nucleotides) under uncultured bacterium. RNAcentral's name for it is "bacterial SSU rRNA". It matches the Rfam family "Bacterial small subunit ribosomal RNA", at positions 29 to 530 of the family's 1533-position model. The record is from RNAcentral.
AGUGAACGCUGGCGGCGUGCUUAACACAUGCAAGUCGAACGAGAACGGGUUAUAGCUUGCUAUAAUUGUCAGCUAAGUGGCGCACGGGUGAGUAAUGUAUAGGUAAUAUGCCUCUUACUAAGGGAUAACAAAUGGAAACGUUUGCUAAUACCUUAUACUCCUUACUAACUAAAGUUAGUAAGGGAAAGAUUUAUUGGUAAGAGAUUAGCCUGUAUUGUAUCAGUUAGUUGGUGGGGUAAUGGCCUACCAAGACAAUGACGCAUAACUGGUUUGAGAGGAUGAUCAGUCACACUGGAACUGAGACACGGUCCAGACUCCUACGGGAGGCAGCAGUGGGGAAUAUUGCACAAUGGACGAAAGUCUGAUGCAGCAACGCCGCGUGGAGGAUGACACAUUUCGGUGCGUAAACUCCUUUUAUAUAAGAAGAUAAUGACGGUAUUAUAUGAAUAAGCACCGGCUAACUCCGUGCCAGCAGCCGCGGUAAAGUCUAG